RNAcentral lists this ribosomal RNA (253 nucleotides) under uncultured bacterium. Its description in RNAcentral is "partial 16S ribosomal RNA". It matches the Rfam family "Bacterial small subunit ribosomal RNA", at positions 524 to 776 of the family's 1533-position model. The record is from RNAcentral.
UACAGAGGUCCCGAGCGUUGUCCGGAUUUAUUGGGCGUAAAGAGCUCGUAGGCGGCUUGUCGCGUCGUCCGUGAAAACCUGCGGCUCAACUGCAGGCUGGCGGUCGAUACGGGCAGGCUGGAGUUCGGUAGGGGAGACUGGAAUUCCUGGUGUAGCGGUGAAAUGCGCAGAUAUCAGGAGGAACACCGGUGGCGAAGGCGGGUCUCUGGGCCGAUACUGACGCUGAGGAGCGAAAGCGUGGGGAGCGAACAGG